UUUCUCAUCCUCCAUAAAUUGUUUGUGUCAGAGUCAGAGAACCGUGUCUCUAACAGUCAGAGGUUUUUGUACGACGGCUCCAUCAGUUUGUAUCACUGUGGUACACGUUUGGUGGAGGAACCAGACUGGAUGUUAACUUGGGUGAACGCCGUCCCACCCUGACAGUGCUGCCCCCCUCCAGUGAGGAGCUGCAGCAGGGGAAGGCCACCCUCAUGUGUCUGGCCAACAAGGGCUUCCCCUCAGACUGGAGUCUGUCCUGGAAGGUGGACGACAGCAGCAGCAGCAGCAGCAGCUGGGAGCAGAGCAGGAGCCCCGGGGUGCUGCAGAAGGACGGCCUCUACAGCUGGAGCAGCACCCUGAGGCUCCCUGCAGACCAGUGGAGGAAGGUGGGCUCUGUGACCUGUGAGGCCUCCAAGGGCUCCCAGCCUGCAGUCACACAGACGCUGACCAGAGACCAGUGUUCCCAGUCCUGAGCUCAUUCAGGGAUUUUCUAAAGAUUUAUUCUGCUACAGAUCGCUUGCUUUAAAAACUUUUUAUUGAAUUUUAUCUUCAGAA
Fundulus heteroclitus (mummichog) is the source of this 555-nucleotide non-coding RNA. The record is from the annotation of a RefSeq genome assembly. NCBI's taxonomy places the organism in Eukaryota, Metazoa, Chordata, Actinopteri, Cyprinodontiformes, Fundulidae.